GGCUUGGGCUCAGAGGCCUGACAAUCUUCUUGAACCAUAAUGGAACUAAGUUAAAAAUUAAUAAAAGAAACAUAUCUAGUAAAUCUCCAAAUAUUUGGAAACCAACCGAUAAAGUUUGGAUGUGUGUCUCCACCAAAAUCUCAUAUUCAAAUGUAAUCCCCAAUGUUAGAAGUGGGGCCUGGUGGGAGGUGAUUGGCUCAUGGGGGUGGAUUUUUCAUGAAUCGCUUAGCAUCAUCCUCUUGGUACUGUCCUCACAAUAGUGAGUGAGUUCUUGUGAGAUCUGCUCAUUUAAAAGUGUGUGGCACCUCCCCCUACUCCUGCUCCUGCUCUCACCAUGUGGUGUUCCCACUCCUGGCUUCACCUGCCAUGAUUGUAAGCUUCCUGAGGCCUCUUCUGAAGCUGAUGCCAGAGCUGUUUCCUGAACAGCCUACAGAACCAUAAGUCAAUUAAACCUCUUUUCUUUACAAAUUACCCUGUCUCAGGUAUUUCUCUUUUCUUCUUUCUUUCUUUUUUUUUUUUUCUUGUGUGUGACAGACAGUCUUGCUCUAUUACCCAGGCUGGAGUGCAGUGGCACAAUCUCAGCUCAUUGCAACCUCCAUCUUCCUGGCUCAAAGAAUCCUCCCACCUUAGUCUCCAGAGUAUCUGGGACUACAAGCAUGCACCACCACACCCAGCUAAUUUUUUAAUUUUUUGUAGAGACGGGGUUUUGCCAUGUUGCUGAGGCUAGUCUCAAGCAUCUGCCUACUUCAGUCUCUCAAAGUGCUAGGAUUACAGACAUGAGCCACCGUGCCUGGCCUCAGGCAUUUCUUUAUAACAAUGCAAGCACGGACUAAUACACCAACAUACUUCUGGAUUACCCAUGGGCCAAAAGGAAAGCCACAAAGGAAUUUAGAAAAGUAAAUGAAAGAGAAAAUGCAACAUAUCAAAAUUUGCAGAAGGCAUUUAAAACGGUGAUUUAGAGAAAUUUAUAAAUGCUUAUAUUGGAAAAGAACAACAUCUCAAAUCAAGGAUCUAAGCUUGCAAGUGACAAAACUAGAAAAAGAACAGAAUAAACCCAAAGUAAGUAGAAGGAAGGAAAGUAUUAUUAGAAGACCAGAACUCAAAUAAAUUGGAAACAGAAAAACAAUAGAGAAAAUUAAUGAAACUAAAAGUUGAUUAUUUUAAAAGUUCAGCACAAUUGAUAAACCUCUAGCCUGGAUGACCAAGAAAAAUAAGAUGCAAAUUAGAAACAUCAGAAAUGAGAGAAGAAACAUCACUAUUAACCCCACAGACCUUAAGAGGAUAACAAGGGAACAGUACUAUGAAAAGCUGUUUGUAAAUUUGACAAAAUGCACUAAUUUUUAAAAUUAAAAAAAAUUACCAAAUUCAUUCAGGAAGAAAAAAGUUUAUGUUAAAGCAAUGAUUUAUUUCAUAUAUAUGUAUGUAUAACUUUUAAAUUGAAUUUGUAGUUUAAACCUUCCAAAAAGAAUUCUCUAGGCCCCAGUGGUUUCACUGAUGAAGUUUACCAAACAUUGUGGAAGAAAUAAUAAUUUUACAUAAUCUCUUCCAGAUAAAGAAGAGGAAGGAACACUUCUCAAUUGAUUUUAUGAGAUUGGCAUUACCCAAUAAAACCAAAGACAUUACAAUUAAGAAAAUGUCAACCCAAUAUCCUUUAAGAGCACAGACACAAAAAUCUUAUAAAAUAUUAUCAAAUUGAAUCCAAAAAUAUAUUUAAAAGAUAUUAAUAAUAUGGCAUGAUCAAGUGGGGCUUAUCCCCAGAAUGCAAGGCUCACUCAACAUUUGAAAAGCCAUCAAUGUAAUUCACCACGUCAACAGUCUAAAAAAGAAUAAUCACAUGAAUAUCUUAUUGGAUGAAGAAAAAGUUUAGAAUAAAUUCAGUAAUCACUUCAUGAUAAAAAAAAAAAAAAAAAAAAAAAACUCCAGCAAACAAGAAAGAGUAGGGAACUUCCUUAAACUAAUAAAAGGCAUCUAUGAAAAACCUACAUCUAACUUUAUACUUCAUGAUGAAAGACUAAUGCUUUCCCCCUAAGACUGGGAAGAAAAAGUUGUCCUCUCUUGACACAUUCGACAGUGUACUGAAAGUGCUAGCCAGUGUAAUAAGGCAAUAAAAAGAAGUAAAGGAUAUAAAUAUUGGAAGGGAAAAAGCAAAAAUAUAUUUAUUCAUACAUAGAUAACAUGUUCAUGUAGAACAUUUCAUUGAAUCUACAAAAAGCUUUUAAACUAGUAAGUGAAUUAGCAAGGUGCCAGCAUAUGUACAAGUCAAUAUAAAAAAGUUAAUUAUAUUCCGAUAUACCAGCAAUGAAUAAUUGAAAUCUGAAUUUUUUUCAAAAAUACCACUUAUAAUAGCACCAAAAAUAAGGAAAAUAUUUAGUUAUAAACAAUAAAAUAUGUGCACAAUCAAUUUGCUGAAUACAAAAGAUUGAUGAAAAAGUCAAAGAAGAUAUAAAUAAAUGUGGAGAUACAGUAUUCAUGGAUAAGGAAAAUUCAAUAUUGUUAAAAUGUAAAUUCUCCUAAUCUACAGAGUUAAUGCAAUUCCAAUUGAAAAUCCAAAGGAUUUUUGUAGGUUUUUUUGUAGAUUUAGACAAUUAAAAUUUUAUAUGGAAAACCAAAAUAACCAGAUUAGCCAAAAGAAAGAAAACAAAACAUAACAUUAGAGGUGUCAUACUACCUGAUUUCAAGACUUUAUAGUAGUCAAGAUCAUGUGGGAUUGGCAAAGGAAAAGAUAAAUCAAUGAAAUAGAAUUGACAGUCCAGAAAUAAACCUUUGUAUUUAUGGUCAAUUGAUUUCUUUAAAGAUGUAAAAGGAAUUCAGUGGAGAAAUUAUGGUAUUUUUAACAAAUGAUACUGGAACAUUUGGACAUUCAGAUGCACAUAAAUUCAUACAUACAUAUACACACAAUACAUGCAUACAUACACACAUACAUACAUAUGAAGAAUAAGCCUAAACUAUAUGUCACACCUUAUACAAAAUGAACUCAAAAUGGAUCAUAGACUAUAAAGUCUAAAGCUAAUAAACUUGUAGAAAAAGAAACUAUCUUGCCCUUCCGUGUCUUUUAAGAAGUCUUUUCUUUUUUUACCCCCUUGAAAACCCUGUAAUUGCCUCACCUGGAGCUGAUGCCUCACAAAAGAGAGGAUGCCCACUCUCCUCAAAAUCUACCCCAAACACUUCUUAUUGCCACUAGACCCAUAACUAGAGUCCAAUUUCAACAUGUUCCAGCAGCCUGGAAGUGGCAGCAGGUCUCUGAGUAUAACUGUGGCACUGAGCCCAGGUUCCCAGAUUUGUCUCGUUCCACUUGCUCUGCAGAGUAUGAGCCAAUAUAAACUAAAAGUGAUGUCUUUACUAAACACCUGUUACGAAACAGCCUGAGGUGUAGAUAUCUCUCAUCUCUGGCCUUGUUUUCAGCAUUUUUCCUCCUUGGAUCAACAGUUUCUGAUACCAGGUUAGGUUACAAGGCUGGAAUAAAAAAACAAACCCCAGCUUGGAAAGGAAGGUGAAUAAGGUAGUCACUCUUACUUGUUUGUUCUCACAGAAUUUGUCCACCUGACUAUUGAAAUACCCAGUCUAGCUUCUUAGUUUUUAUUCAUGGCUGUUGGUAUUUAUUAAGUAAGCAUUAACAGACUUAUUGGGCAAGUAAAACAUAAUGUGCUAGGCAGCCACAAGAAAAUACAAAGCCAGAGUCCCCAACCCUCAAGAGUUCAUUCUAGACUAAUCGUAAAUACAUGGCUUUAUGUUUUCAGAUUAUGCUUAAUGGAGCCACUCCGAACCAUUUUCUUCUGGGUGGCACACCUCUGCGUAACGAAAUUUUCCAGACUUCAUAUGGGCAAGGUAGCUAGGCAGAGAGAAUGACCUAAAACUAAAAUUGUUUCAGAGAGAAGUAGGAAUUGUACUAAUUAAUGCUGGAGCAAGACAAAGAUAGACUUCGAAGGGGCAGAUGGCUACAGCUUAGUGUCUAACAUUAUGGAAUUGAUCUCGGUAGGGCACCUAGCAUUGCUUCUACUACUCCCAUGCCUCUAACUGUCCCAUAAGCAGGUGCUGUUAGUGGCAAAGGCAAAAUGCAGGAGUGCAGCCCACCAUGGCUAUAAGAAGUACUCAAAAUCCAUAUCUUCCUGCUUUGGGAUAGCUGAAUCUCAAUAGACAACAAUUAUUUUUGUAACACACUUAAAUAAUGUAAGAGAAAAAAUAGUAAAGAAGAAAUGUUUAGAGAAAAUGGAAUGACAAAUGAGCAAAUAUAGGAAAAGAAGUCAGGGAAAAGAACAUCACACUAUAAACUCAUCAAUGCUUUAUACCAGCACCUUGCACAAAGUUUAACUUUGUAAAUUGUCUUAAAUAUUAAAUACCUAACUUUAUAUAAAAAGGCAACACCAAUAUCAUCUCUUCUCAGCGCCUCCAAACAAAAUUAUGUACUUUGUUUUUUCUAAUUAAAU
Molecule: long non-coding RNA, 4424 nt
Filed under: Homo sapiens (human)
Lineage: Eukaryota; Metazoa; Chordata; Mammalia; Primates; Hominidae
Description: non-protein coding lnc-PRDX6-3:1
Source: RNAcentral